GUUAAUGAGUCUUACAAUAAGAACAUCAUUGAUCCCACAUUCCCAUAGACCCUACUUGUUUUGGUCCUGAUCCAUCAAAUCACUUUAACAUGUAUGCAACUUUAAAUACAUGAGAUAUCCCACUCAAGAGAAUGAGUCAUGUGCUUAAGGUUAUUCAUGGACUUAAGAACUGCACAAGAGGUGCUUUGUCUCCAGAGGCUCACUGGUUAUUAGAGAGAGCACAUAUACACAGACAAAUAGAUAUAGAUAUAGAUAUAGAUAUAUAUGCACAUUGCAGGCUAUGCAUACCUCCUUGGAAGCCAUGCUCAAGAAUAAAAAUAACAAAUAAAAUCCUCAAGUCUUCAUAUACCAUAAGUUAUGACUUCUGAUUAUUUAAAACCAUGAGAAGAUAACUGGAUAAAGAUGCACUGGACAAGAGAUUCAGGGAGCUCUCAUGAAUAUUAACUGCUCACCCUAGGAUGUUAUUUGCCUUCUCCUUCACCCCUUCUUUCUCUUGCAUAUACUUUCAACCCGUGCCAUUAACAGCAGCAGUAGAAGAAGUGUCCCCAUAGCAGUGAGUACCUACCUGCACAGAUAAUGAAAAAUGGGUGCCUGCCACAGACAGGUCACAGCCUGGCUUUCUGAAGGGACAAAACAGAUGAUGGAAAGAGACAAAUCGUGGUGACAUCCACAGACUCAGCACACUGUAAUGCAUGUGAACCAUGAAAGACCUAUGAACAUCAGAUCUUCAUGUCCUUCAAAGGACCAUGGUGUCAGCAAGAAACCAGGUACAGAAUAAGUUUCUGCAGAUAUGCUCGCAGUCUGAGAUAUUCAACGCGACCUUUCAAUUGAGUAGACCACUUCUGAGAAUAGCUUUCACUCACAAUGUAGUAUUCAAAGCCUAACAGUGAUUUGUAGAAGAAACAUACUACUUGCUCUCUGUUUCAACCAAUCCAAAGCAUGCAAGGCUAUUCCUUGGCUGGUAGUUGUACAAUUUUCACACAUAAGAAUACGACAUCUUAUUGAAUUCAUCUGAAACUGUGUCUUAAAUUCCCACUAACAUUGGACAGGAAAAUAAAGGGUU
Lepidothrix coronata (blue-crowned manakin) is the source of this 1063-nucleotide long non-coding RNA. RefSeq lists it as uncharacterized. The transcript has 5 exons. NCBI's taxonomy places the organism in Eukaryota, Metazoa, Chordata, Aves, Passeriformes, Pipridae. The record is from RefSeq and is a predicted model, not a curated record.